UACGUAGGGGGCAAGCGUUAUCCGGAUUUACUGGGUGUAAAGGGAGCGUAGACGGUUGUGCAAGUCUGAUGUGAAAACCAGGGGAUCAACUCCGGGAUUGCAUUGGAAACUGUAUAACUAGAGUGCAGGAGAGGUAAGUGAAUUCCUAGUGUAGCGGUGAAAUGCGUAGAUAUUAGGAGGAACACCGGCGGCGAAGGCGGCUUACUGGACUGUAACUGACGUUGAGGCCCGAAGGCGUGGGGAGCAAACA
This 250-nucleotide ribosomal RNA is filed under the name uncultured prokaryote. RNAcentral describes it as "partial 16S ribosomal RNA". It matches the Rfam family "Bacterial small subunit ribosomal RNA", at positions 524 to 774 of the family's 1533-position model. The record is from RNAcentral.